This is a long non-coding RNA of Struthio camelus australis, 1227 nucleotides long. The record is from Ensembl. NCBI's taxonomy places the organism in Eukaryota, Metazoa, Chordata, Aves, Struthioniformes, Struthionidae.
CUAUUUCAGUGAGGAAAUAACUGCUCACGUGAUGUCUUAGGAUUAGCGGAACCGUAAGGAAAAGAAUAAUCAAAGUGUUCUUCCUGUGUUUUGACUCUAGACGUUGCUCACUGAAAAUACAGAACUGUUGACAAACAGUACUAUGUAAAAAGAAAAUUCUUUCCUUUGUUCUCAAACUACUUUUUAAAAUAACUACUGUCUCAAAAAAAAAAUCACCUUUCUUAAAAAAAAAAAAAAAAAGGGGGGGGGGAAAUGUUUUAAAAGAUGAAUGGGAAGAUAUAUGUUUUUGUAAUGGACAGUGUAUCUUUUAGGCAAUAUAAUUUUUAUGAAAGUCGUAACAUUUUUGAGAAUUUAAUGAGUAUCCUUUCUCAAAAGAGCUUGCACCUCAUUGUCCGGAUCUUACCUUACAAAAGGUCACCAGAUACGUUCCUGAAAAGCAAUUUGCACAUGGGAGCUUUUACAGAUUUGGGCAGGGAGUUUAAAAUAAACUAGUACGUGCAUACCAAAAAAGGGAUGUGUUCGUUCAUAUACCUCGGUUGCCUAAACUCUCAGCAAUAGAGAAGCCCCUUUGAGUUUCAGGAAAAUUGUUAUGUCCACUGUAAGCUGAGAGUUGCUAUAGAAGCUUGUGGAACUCUGUGGAGAAUAAUCACAAGUGUGAGACACAGUGCUUGGGGGGAGAAGGAAGUGAGCUGGAGACAGCACAUCGGAGUCUGGAAGUAACGCUGCAUGGAGGGAAGCGUGCCGUUGAUACAACAGAACAGAUGAAUGACUUCAGAAGUCUUUUGGAUUUUCUGUGUGUCCAAAAAAAGAGCAAACCUUUAUGAUAUGAAAAUUUAGAUGCCGUAGCAGAAAACGGAGUCACUUCCUUGACACAAAUAAGGUACGAGAGUCCCAGCAGUGUUCAUGCAGUACAAUUUGCGCGAUGAGGAGACUCCUGAAACGACUCCCAGUGACCUCCCCCAGGCAUCACCAGGACCUCAAGGGAAAAUAAGAAGAGUUCAUGAAGGUGGUCUCCAGAUGAUACAGCCCUCGCAGAAGCACUCACUCCGCUCUUCGUUUCCACUGACUAGGAAGCAAAUCCGCGACACUACCAGGCCUGGCAAGUGCAGACAGAUUCCAGUUGCUCCUGGACUUACUAAGAAGGCAGACACGUUAGCUCUGACACUCAAAGUGCGCAACGCUGUGAACGUGAAUAACGCCGCUCAAAGAGAACAGCGUGGUGCGUAA